GGUCAAGCUAUUAAGGGCACAUGGGGGAUGUCUUGGCGUUAGAAGAAUGAGCGUGGAAGUCUGCGAAAAGCUUGGGGGAGUUGACAAACGAGCGUCGAUCCCAAGAUCCUCAAUAAAACCCAGGGAACUGAAACAUCUAAGUACCUGGAGGAGUAGAAAGAAAAAUCGAUUCCGUAAGUAGCGGCGAGCGAAAGCGGAAUAGCCCAAACCGCGAAGGUUUCCUUUGCGGGGUUGUAGGGCUACUCAUAUGGGAGUUACAAAGCUUCACUUAGCCGAAUGGCAUGGAAUGGCCAACCACAGAGGGUGACAGUCCUGUAGGCGACAAGUGCAAGUCUCUCGAGUAGUUCCUGAGUAGGUCGGGUCACGUGAAACCCUGACUGAAUCCACGGGGACCAUCCCGUAAGGCUAAAUACUCUCUAACGACCGAUAGUGAACCCAGUAGGGCGACCGAAAGAUGGAAAGAACCCCGAUAAGGGGAGGUAUUGAACCUGAAACCAUGUGCCUACAAGCGGUCGGAGCACGUUAAUGUGUGACGGCGUGCCUUUUGCAUAAUGAUCCGGCGACUUACGGUUUAUGGCUUGGUUAAGACCUUACGGGUCGAAGCCACAGGGAAACCAAGUGUUAAUAGCGCGAAAGUGUCAUAGGUCGUAGACGCGAAACUGCGUGAUCUACCCAUGAGCAGGUUGAAGCAAGGGUUACACUUUGUGGAGGACCGAACCCACUUGGGUUGAAAACCGAGGGGAUGACUUGUGGGGAGGAGUGAAAGUCUAAUCAAACGCAGAGAUAGCUCGUUCUCUCCGAAAUAGCUUUUGGGCUAGCCUCGUGCCACUAUUUGUUGGGGGUAGAGAGACUGAUUCGGAUGGGGGUCCUUCCCGGGAUACCUCACUGAGCCAAACUCCGAAUACCGACAAAAUUAUCACGGGAGUCAGUCCGCGAGGGAUAAGCUUCGCGGACGAGAGGGAAACAACCCAGAUCACCGGCUAAGGUCCCUAAUUCAUACUAAGUCACUAAGGAAGUUAGUUUGCAGUGACAGCCAGGAUGUUGGCUUAGAAGCAGCCACCAUUUAAAAAGUGCGUAACAGCUUACUGGUCGAGCAAACUUGCGCCGAUAAUGAACGGGAGUAAGUAUGAAACCGAAGCCGUGGGUUCCAAUUUAUUGGAGCGGUAGGAGAGCGCUGUAUGGGAGAUACAAGGCCGACGGAAACGACGGUUGCCGGCCCAUACAGGUGAUUAUGCCGGAAUGAGUAACGAUAAAACAGGUGAGAAUCCUGUUCGCCGAAAACCUAAGGUUUCCUGGGGAAGGUAAUUCCGCCCAGGGUUAGGCGGUACCUUAGUCGAGGCCGAAAGGCGUAGACGAUGGACAGCAGGUUAAUAUUCCUGCCCCAGUGUGUGGACUGAUGGAGGGACGGCGUCCAGAUAACAAUCAGACGAAUAGAAAUGUCUGUGGAGGUUGCUGAGUUGGCGAGGGUUAAAAGACUCGCGUAAUACAAGGCGACUAACCGACCUUCGGGGAAGUUGUUGGAAGGACGUCCAAGAAAAGCUUCUAGGGUUGAAGCACACUGACCGUACUAAAACUGACACAGGUAGGUGAGUCGAGUAGACUAAGGCGCUCGGGAGAACGGUGGUUAAGGAACUCUGCAAAAUGACCCCGUAAGUUCGCGAUAAGGGGUGCCUGCGCAAGCAGGCCACAGUAAAUCGGUUCCAGCGACUGUUUAUCAAAAACACAGGACUCUGCUAACACGCAAGUGGAUGUAUAGAGUCUGACGCCUGCCCGGUGCUGGUAGGUUAAGGAAGUAGGUUAGCCUUCGGGUAAAGCUUGCGACCGAAGCCCCAGUAAACGGCGGCCGUAACUAUGACGGUCCUAAGGUAGAAACGCUGCCUCCCUGGCGAGUAAUCGUCAGGUAAACUCUUGGCUGUAUGCGGGAAAACCCUUAGAGCCCAUCUCUACGAUUCCAGGAUUCAGAAAUGAGUCGCUGGCGUAACAAUGAGUGGGAUUGGACAAUCCGCAGGAAAUUCGAGUGGUUGGUUUGGCCUUGGGCCAGAGCAAUGGCUUGAAGCUCCUCAGAGACUACACGCCGAGUAUCCUUAACCAAAUAUAUUAGCCAUGGAAUUAUCCCCUGAAUGGGUUGUCGGAUUUGUUGACGGAGAAGGUUGCUUCCUCGUCAGCAUUGUCGAACAGCCCGAAGAUAAAGUUCAGUACAAGGUGCUGGCUGAAUUCGCAGUGGUUCAACACCGACGCGAUGUUCAAGUCCUGCAGGCUUUGAAGCGGUUCUUUAAAGGGGGAGUCGUCCGAGUCAAUCAUGACGACCGCCUUUGUUUCCGAGUUCGCAAACUCGAGACAUUGGUACAAGUUUGUUCGUUCUUUCAGCGGUAUCCGCUGAAAACGAAAAAGCAGGUCGAUUUCGUUAAGUUUCGAAAAGUGAUUGCUGUGAUGGAUUCCGGUGAGCAUCUGACAAUCGAUGGGCUUCGCAAGGUGAUUGGAUUGGCAAAAUCCAUGAUCCACGCGGAUGCGAGUCGUUUCCAGAAUGUUUUGGCAAGUUUGGGUGAAGGAUAAAGAUAUAGUCCACGCACCUGCGAAAGCAGACAUGCAUAAUUUCGUGAGCGAAAUUCCUUGUCGGGUAAGUUCCGACCUGCAUGAAAGGCGUAACGACUGGAACACUGUCUCAACCACCGACCCGGUGAAAUUGUAGUCGUGGUGAAGAUGCCACGUACCCGCGGUUAGACGGAAAGACCCCGUGAACCUUGACUGUAGGCUGAUAUUGGGCUGAGAUAUAACAUGUGCAGGAUAGGUGGGAGGCGUUGAACUGGAUGCGUCAGCAUUCAGGGAGCCAACCUUGAGAUACCACCCUUGGUGUGUUUUAGUUCUAACUUCGAUCCAGUGAAUCCUGGCGAAGGACAUUGUCAUGUGGGCAGUUUGGCUGGGGCGGUCUCCUCCAAAAGAGUAACGGAGGAGCGCAAUGGUACUCUCAGUGUGGUCGGUAAUCACACGUCGAGCGUAAAGGUAGAAGAGUGCUUAACUGCGAGACUUAUCAGUCGAGCAGAUACGAAAGUAGGCCUUAGUGAUCCGGUGAUUCCGAAUGGAAGGGUCAUCGCUCAUCAGAUAAAAGGUACUCCGGGGAUAACAGGCUUAUCGCUCCCGAGCGUCCAUAGCGGCGGAGCGGUUUGGCACCUCGAUGUCGGCUCAUCACAUCCUGGGGGUGUAGAAGCUCCCAAGGGUUUGGCUGUUCGCCAAUGAAAGUGGUACGUGAGCUGGGUUCAGACCGUCGUGAGACAGGUCGGUCCCUAUCUGCCGUGGGCGUUCGAAACUUGAGGGGGUUCAACUUUAGUACGAGAGGAUUUUGUUGGACGUAGCUCUGGUGUACCAGUUGUCGCGCUAGCGGCAUGGCUGGAUAGCUAACUACGGAACGGAUAAACGCUGAAAGCAUA
RNAcentral lists this ribosomal RNA (3425 nucleotides) under Pirellulaceae bacterium. RNAcentral's name for it is "partial 23S ribosomal RNA". It matches the Rfam family "Bacterial large subunit ribosomal RNA". The record is from RNAcentral. Lineage: Bacteria; Pseudomonadati; Planctomycetota; Planctomycetia; Pirellulales; Pirellulaceae.